GACCGCGUAGCUCAGUGGUAGAGCAAUCGGCUUUUAACCGAUUGGCCGUGGGUUCGAGCCCCACCGCGGUCA
Molecule: transfer RNA, 72 nt
Filed under: Chloroflexota bacterium
Lineage: Bacteria; Bacillati; Chloroflexota
Also listed under: 1 other name
Description: tRNA-Lys
Rfam family: tRNA
About the family: Transfer RNA (tRNA) molecules are approximately 80 nucleotides in length. Their secondary structure includes four short double-helical elements and three loops (D, anti-codon, and T loops).
Source: RNAcentral